RNAcentral lists this non-coding RNA (1634 nucleotides) under Pongo abelii (Sumatran orangutan). The record is from RNAcentral. Lineage: Eukaryota; Metazoa; Chordata; Mammalia; Primates; Hominidae.
ACUUUCAACGAAGGAGACAGACAUUUCCCUGGCCUUCCUGGUGAAGAGCGCUUUUUGGAGAGACAAACCUGUUGCUCAGGGGCUGAGCAUUCCCGUGUGUUCUCCCUGUACUUCACCUAAAAAUAUGCCUGUUUUCCACACUGUGCAUACCUGGGGGUGGGUGCUGGGCAUACUCUACCUGCCUGUGUUUUCUCAUCAGGGAGUAAACACAGUAAACCUAACGCUCCAGGGGAAGGAAAAAACAAAUCAUUCAGGGCCCAUCUCAGGGACUGAUGAAUGCGGCACCGUUUUGAAUGUGUACCUAAUCUGGUCCAGAUAUGCCUGCUGGGGCCGCAAAAACCAAGACACGUUCAAGCACGUUUGCUCUGGCAAGCUUGGGCGAGCAGGUCCAGACCUGAGAGUUUUAGAAAGCAGGGACGAAGUUUUCAAGCACGAUGGGAACACCUGUAGGUGCAGGUGCCUGCCGGUCGGCCGACCACCUCGCAUCUGAGGCUGGAUCCGCACACGGAGGACGACAACUGCUCACAGGGACGUGCGUCCAGGGGAAAGUUGCGAAUGAGGGAGGAGAAGGAGCCAGUUUGGAAGGGAGGCUGAUAAGUUUCAUUUUUAAAAAUGGAUCUGCAUUUGGAUAUCUCUGGGGAUGCCAGUAAGGUUGUUGGGUACAGGGGUCUGCAACUCAGAGACCAGCAGGCAUCCUGAACAAGACAGAUCCAGGCAGACGGAAUGGGCUUGUAGGAUAACUUGGCAGAGGGCGCAACCAAGAAGAGUUCAGAGGUGCUGGCCAGUUCCAUGCGACUGCAUGGGGGCAUGGGAGAAGAGAUACACUUAAACCAGGGUCCCACAGGCUCAAUGGGUCUCCUUCCAAAACCAGCUUCCAAUGAGCCCUCAGAUUCUCCAAAUACUGGGCAGCUGGAUUUCCCAGACACCUUCUGCAAUCUGCUGACAUCUAAUAUACCUGUAGACUGUUCUCCCGCUGACAAGGGGGUUCUGGCUCUUAUCCUAUAAAGAAGAGAGGUGGCAGAGAGUUGGAGGAGAGGGCCUCCUUCCCUGGCAUAUCCACCCGACGAUCUCCAAGAACAUCCUGGCUGUGGCCCACACCUUUCUGUGUGGUUAGGAGGAGUAUCGGAUGCCUUCUCUUUCCAACCUUGGAUUGUGUGAAGUUGGUGUUAUGGUGAUGUAAGAGGAUGGCUGUAUUCUGAGUGAUGCAAGAUCCAACAUUUAGGCAUGAAAUGCCAUGAUGACAGCCACUUACUUUAGCAAAAGGGAAGUUGUGUGUGUGUGUGUGCACGCACGCGUACGCAUAUAAAUAGAGGAAGUAGCUACAGCUAGAUGGUGAGUCUACGUGAGGAGUAUCUGGGUGUUCAUCGUACUGUUCUUUCAACUUUUCUGUGGGUUUGAAAAUUUUCAAAACAAGACAAAAAAUGUUUUUCAAAGACUGAGAGGAUAGGAAAUAGAAAUGGCUCUUAUUAAAGAGCCAUUUAGAAGAAUGUUUUCUUCUAUUUCCUUUUCCCCACGACUAUGACCCUCAGUGCCAGCGAUUUCUCCUUUCCAUAAACUUUUGUUUGACCUUAAAUCAUUGUGACACCACUGAGCAGGGAAUCUCAAUAAUGGCUGACAUAUCUGGUAGCAAAAGG